RNAcentral lists this long non-coding RNA (241 nucleotides) under Lathyrus oleraceus (garden pea). RNAcentral's name for it is "Pisum sativum (pea) long non-coding RNA (PSAT_LNC008303)". Lineage: Eukaryota; Viridiplantae; Streptophyta; Magnoliopsida; Fabales; Fabaceae. The record is from RNAcentral.
GAAAAGAGAAUAAAAUAACAUGAUGGGCGUUAGGGGUUGAACCCCUGACCUUGGGGUCAUGAGGUUAACCCCCAUCCACUAGGCCAAGCACUUCAAAGAAUAAAAUAGAAAGAGUCAAACAUAAAAAACAUGCGCGCUCAAAACAACUAAUCAGGACAUGACAACAUAUUUAUUUGGAUUUGAAACACACGCAAGCCAAUGACAAACUCAAUCGUCUUCAACCUUCAACCUUAAAAUUUAA